Molecule: ribosomal RNA, 242 nt
Filed under: uncultured haloarchaeon
Lineage: Archaea; Methanobacteriati; Methanobacteriota; Halobacteria; Halobacteriales; Halobacteriaceae
Description: partial 16S ribosomal RNA
Rfam family: Archaeal small subunit ribosomal RNA
Source: RNAcentral
UGCGAGGGCAUAUAGUCCUCGCUUUUCUCACCCGUAAGGUUGGUUUGAGGAAUAAGUGCUGGGCAAGACCGGUGCCAGCCGCCGCGGUAAUACCGGCAGACCGAGUGAUGACCGCUGUUAUUGGGCCUUUGAGUCCAACCCUGGUCCUUUAAGUCCAUGGGGAAAUGGCGUGCUGAAAAUGGAGGGGAUCGGUGGAAUGUGCAAGGAUAGGACUGAGAUCCUCGGGUCCCUACUUCAAAAGU